Molecule: ribosomal RNA, 497 nt
Filed under: uncultured bacterium
Lineage: Bacteria
Description: partial 16S ribosomal RNA
Rfam family: Bacterial small subunit ribosomal RNA
Source: RNAcentral
GAUGAACGCUGGCGGCGUGCCUAAUACAUGCAAGUCGAGCGAACGGACGAGAAGCUUGCUUCUCUGAUGUUAGCGGCGGACGGGUGAGUAACACGUGGAUAACCUACCUAUAAGACUGGGAUAACUUCGGGAAACCGGAGCUAAUACCGGAUAAUAUUUUGAACCGCAUGGUUCAAAAGUGAAAGACGGUCUUGCUGUCACUUAUAGAUGGAUCCGCGCUGCAUUAGCUAGUUGGUAAGGUAACGGCUUACCAAGGCAACGAUGCAUAGCCGACCUGAGAGGGUGAUCGGACACACUGGAACUGAGACACGGUCCAGACUCCUACGGGAGGCAGCAGUAGGGAAUAUUCCGCAAUGGGCGAAAGCCUGACGGAGCAACGCCGCGUGAGUGAUGAAGGUCUUCGGAUCGUAAAACUCUGUUAUUAGGGAAGAACAUAUGUGUAAGUAACUGUGCACAUCUUGACGGUACCUAAUCAGAAAGCCACGGCUAACUACGUG